AUGCAGUCGAGCGAAUGGAUUGAGAGCUUGCUCUCAUGAAGUUAGCGGCGGACGGGUGAGUAACACGUGGGUAACCUGCCCAUAAGACUGGGAUAACUCCGGGAAACCGGGGCUAAUACCGGAUAACAUUUUGAACUGCAUGGUUCGAAAUUGAAAGGCGGCUUCGGCUGUCACUUAUGGAUGGACCCGCGUCGCAUUAGCUAGUUGGUGAGGUAACGGCUCACCAAGGCAACGAUGCGUAGCCGACCUGAGAGGGUGAUCGGCCACACUGGGACUGAGACACGGCCCAGACUCCUACGGGAGGCAGCAGUAGGGAAUCUUCCGCAAUGGACGAAAGUCUGACGGAGCAACGCCGCGUGAGUGAUGAAGGCUUUCGGGUCGUAAAACUCUGUUGUUAGGGAAGAACAAGUGCUAGUUGAAUAAGCUGGCACCUUGACGGUACCUAACCAGAAAGCCACGGCUAACUACGUGCCAGCAGCCGCGGUAAUACGUAGGUGGCAAGCGUUAUCCGGAAUUAUUGGGCGUAAAGCGCGCGCAGGUGGUUUCUUAAGUCUGAUGUGAAAGCCCACGGCUCAACCGUGGAGGGUCAUUGGAAACUGGGAGACUUGAGUGCAGAAGAGGAAAGUGGAAUUCCAUGUGUAGCGGUGAAAUGCGUAGAGAUAUGGAGGAACACCAGUGGCG
RNAcentral lists this ribosomal RNA (681 nucleotides) under Bacillus toyonensis. RNAcentral's name for it is "bacterial SSU rRNA". It matches the Rfam family "Bacterial small subunit ribosomal RNA", at positions 55 to 717 of the family's 1533-position model. The record is from RNAcentral. Lineage: Bacteria; Bacillati; Bacillota; Bacilli; Caryophanales; Bacillaceae.